UACGUAGGGUGCGAGCGUUGUCCGGAUUCAUUGGGCGUAAAGAGCGCGUAGGCGGCCGUGCAAGUCGGUUGUGAAAUCCCGGGGCUCAACCCCGGGACUGCGUCCGAUACUGCACGGCUCGAGGCAGGUAGGGGAGAGUGGAAUUCCCGGUGUAGCGGUGAAAUGCGUAGAUAUCUGGAGGAACACCGGUGGCGAAGGCGGCAUCCUGGACCGGUAUUGACGCUGAGGCGCGAAAGCCAGGGGAGCAAACGGG
RNAcentral lists this ribosomal RNA (253 nucleotides) under uncultured bacterium. RNAcentral's name for it is "partial 16S ribosomal RNA". It matches the Rfam family "Bacterial small subunit ribosomal RNA", at positions 524 to 776 of the family's 1533-position model. The record is from RNAcentral.